GACGAACGCUGGCGGCGUGCCUAAUACAUGCAAGUAGAACGCUGAAGGAGGAGCUUGCUUCUCUGGAUGAGUUGCGAACGGGUGAGUAACGCGUAGGUAACCUGCCUGGUAGCGGGGGAUAACUAUUGGAAACGAUAGCUAAUACCGCAUAAUAGUAGAUGUUGCAUGACAUUUGCUUAAAAGGUGCAAUUGCAUCACUACCAGAUGGACCUGCGUUGUAUUAGCUAGUUGGUGGGGUAACGGCUCACCAAGGCGACGAUACAUAGCCGACCUGAGAGGGUGAUCGGCCACACUGGGACUGAGACACGGCCCAGACUCCUACGGGAGGCAGCAGUAGGGAAUCUUCGGCAAUGGACGGAAGUCUGACCGAGCAACGCCGCGUGAGUGAAGAAGGUUUUCGGAUCGUAAAGCUCUGUUGUAAGAGAAGAACGGGUGUGAGAGUGGAAAGUUCACACUGUGACGGUAUCUUACCAGAAAGGGACGGCUAACUACGUGC
Molecule: ribosomal RNA, 496 nt
Filed under: uncultured Streptococcus sp.
Lineage: Bacteria; Bacillati; Bacillota; Bacilli; Lactobacillales; Streptococcaceae
Description: bacterial SSU rRNA
Rfam family: Bacterial small subunit ribosomal RNA
Source: RNAcentral